This is a long non-coding RNA of Frieseomelitta varia, 1225 nucleotides long. RefSeq lists it as uncharacterized. The record is from RefSeq and is a predicted model, not a curated record. Lineage: Eukaryota; Metazoa; Arthropoda; Insecta; Hymenoptera; Apidae. The transcript is spliced from 4 exons.
CCCCUAGAAAUUAAAGUGACAUAAAUUAACGUCAAACAAAGCUUCAAUGGUGCUUGUUUCGUAUCUUCGUAUACGUUUUCAAACGAUCGGGCGUAGCGUUUCGUUUCGAGAGGUUGGUACCCUGAAAAGUCCAAAUAAAUCUUUAUUCCACUAAAACAGAUUUCUUUAAGAAUCUGAAUCUUCAAUCUAAUCGAAUUAUGAAGAUUUAUCAUUAUAUAUAUUACGUGUAAUGAUGUCUCGCUUUUUCCCUAAUACUUAUCGCAGCUAUCGUUCGAUGUUCUAUGAGAAGUAAUGUAUUUGUGCUAAUAUGCUUCAGCUAAUAUAAGUCGUUAGCUAGAUGAAAGGACGAAUAUGUGAAAAUUGAAAAUAUGUAUUCUAAAGUACGCCAUCGGAUAGCACGAUAUUUGAAACAAAAGAAGUACAAGAGUGAUCGAGUACGUUUCGCUUUAUGAAUAAACUGAUUUAUUUUCGAUCAGGGGGGAGGCGGGAUAACGAUAAAUAUGUUGGACCUGAUAUGGUACUCAAAUUUUGCAGAACUAAAAUGGAAAAGAAAACAUACUAAAUAGAACUGUACGAAACAGAAGCGAAGAUGAAAGAUGACGAAAGCAGAGAAAGAAAGAGAGGAAUAGUUGAACACCAGAAAAUUUUAGUUCAUCGGAGAAGCAUGAUUUACUACGUAUUCGUGCAACUUACGUAUCGGCUAUUGACAUGCUUAAAUAUGACUAUUAAUUAAAAGCAUUGAAUCAUAAGCUCUGCAUACCACGGUGAAGGAGGGUUCGACAAGGAACUUAAGAAAGAAAUUCAACUAGAAAUCAAAGCGGUGUGUGACGGUGAGUGAGAAGGAGGAGCGAAACGAAAGAAGUACAGUCGAACAAGUUUGUGAAAGUUUGGCAGCGAAGAAGGUAGAAAGCACGCAGUAAAAUCAUUUCUACGAACCCUGGUGGAAUCAACACCCUCGACCAACGCUCUGGUCCUCUCGGUUGCCUUCACGGUGACCUUCAACACUCCAUCUACGUAGACGUGAUACGACUCCAACUGAUGAGUAUUAUCUGGCGCCGUCCAACCGAUUAGAACGCUCUUGUUCAGCUGCCGCUCAAGCGUAAGGUGCUGCGGCGCCGGAACUAGGUCCGAAAACAGCAAAACGACAGAUAAAUGAAUAGAAAGAAAUUAUAAAGGAAAUCGGUAUACUACCGGCAAGCGUAAUCAAAAGUUGUUAUGUAUUCUU